ACUUGCGGGAGCUUGCUCCCAAAAGUUAGCGGCGGACGGGUGAGUAACACGUGGGCAACCUGCCUAUAAGACUGGGAUAACUUCGGGAAACCGGAGCUAAUACCGGAUAAUUCUUUUCUACACAUGUAGAAAAGCUAAAAGACGGUUUACGCUGUCACCUAUAGAUGGGCCCGCGGCGCAUUAGCUAGUUGGUGUAUUGUAACGGCUCACCAAGAAAAAGAUGCGUAGCCGACCUGAGAGGGUGAUCGGCCACAUNGUGACUGAGACACGGAAAAGACUCCUACGGAGUCAGUCAGUGGGAACUUC
This 306-nucleotide small RNA is filed under the name uncultured bacterium. RNAcentral describes it as "bacterial SSU rRNA". It matches the Rfam family "Bacterial small subunit ribosomal RNA", at positions 69 to 365 of the family's 1533-position model. The record is from RNAcentral.